GGGAAGGUGGUUCAGUGGUAGAGUGCUUGCCUUGCAUGCAUGAGGCCCUGGGUUCAAUUCCUCAGCACCCU
This 71-nucleotide transfer RNA is filed under the name Dipodomys ordii (Ord's kangaroo rat). It matches the Rfam family "tRNA". Rfam says of the family: Transfer RNA (tRNA) molecules are approximately 80 nucleotides in length. Their secondary structure includes four short double-helical elements and three loops (D, anti-codon, and T loops). Further hydrogen bonds mediate the characteristic L-shaped molecular structure. tRNAs have two regions of fundamental functional importance: the anti-codon, which is responsible for specific mRNA codon recognition, and the 3' end, to which the tRNAs corresponding amino acid is attached (by aminoacyl-tRNA synthetases). tRNAs cope with the degeneracy of the genetic code in two manners: having more than one tRNA (with a specific anti-codon) for a particular amino acid; and 'wobble' base-pairing, i.e. permitting non-standard base-pairing at the 3rd anti-codon position. The record is from Rfam by way of RNAcentral. Lineage: Eukaryota; Metazoa; Chordata; Mammalia; Rodentia; Heteromyidae.